This 402-nucleotide ribosomal RNA is filed under the name uncultured bacterium. RNAcentral describes it as "bacterial SSU rRNA". It matches the Rfam family "Bacterial small subunit ribosomal RNA", at positions 335 to 728 of the family's 1533-position model. The record is from RNAcentral.
ACUCCUACGGGAGGCAGCAGUGGGGAAUAUUGCACAAUGGGCGCAAGCCUGAUGCAGCCAUGCCGCGUGUGUGAAGAAGGCCUUCGGGUUGUAAAGCACUUUCAGUUGUGAGGAAAGGUUAGUCGCUAAUAUCGGUCUAGCUGUGACGUUUAGCAACAGAAGAAGCACCGGCUAACUCCGUGCCAGCAGCCGCGGUAAUACGGAGGGUGCGAGCGUUAAUCGGAAUUACUGGGCGUAAAGCGCGUGUAGGUGGCUUGUUAAGCCAGAUGUGAAAGCCCCGGGCUCAACCUGGACUGCAUUUGGAACUGGCAGGCUAGAGUUUUGUAGAGGGGUGGUAUAAUUUCAGGUGUAGCGGUGAAAUGCGUAGAGAUCUGAAGGAAUACCGGUGGCGAAGGCGACCCA